Non-coding RNA from Chelonoidis abingdonii (Abingdon island giant tortoise), 2332 nucleotides. The record is from RefSeq and is a predicted model, not a curated record. NCBI's taxonomy places the organism in Eukaryota, Metazoa, Chordata, Testudines, Testudinidae.
UCUUUGAAAAUGCCAGGGUCUCUCAAAACUCCUGGAAAUAACAGAAGCAUCUUGUAAACAGUCUGUGCUUACAGCUACAUUGGGGGAAAAAAUAGGCUAAAGAUUUGUAUCCAGCUCAAGAUUCCUAGGAGGAAAACCUUUAUUUUUGGAAGAACUAUGUAUACAAAACCACAUUUACUGUACAGUCAGAAAAAUUACCAACAUGUCUCAAACUUAGAAGUAUAAGAAUAAUUGAACCACUCAAACACUUCAAAUUGAAACUAAUCCUCUAUAUCGUAAUUUAUUUUAAAAUGCAUUUCAAAGUAACAUUUAAAAACCAACUACUGCUGUUGGCAGCCAUGUUACUAAAAGCAAAUGGCAUGAUACCAAUAGUGAUCUCUUUAGCAAGAAGGCUACCAGGAGUAGGAAAAGUAAUUGCCAACUGUAAUUAUACUUGGUCACAAUAAUUUUGAGAAAAGUGAUUCUUUAAAUUGCUAGAGCCAAAACAGGUAGUCUUAAAAUGAAUACACAGGGAGAAGAAAUGCUUAAACUUAAGAGGUACUUUUCCAACCAGAAAACAAGGCUAUGUAACAAUCCAAAUCCAGGAUAGUUAAGAAGUGGUUUCCAGAGACACUACAGGAAAGUCAACAUCAAGCUUCUGCCAGUAGAAAUUAAGUGUCUGCUUUAAACAAGUUCAAUCACUUUGAGUACUUCCUGAAUUACUAGUAUUCUUUAAGGACCAGCAAACUACACAAGAUAACAAGAGUAGAACUUCCAAGGAACCCAGUCUUCCUCUAUUUAUAUUUCUGUGACAGUCCUGGUUUCUUGGUGCUUCCCUCUGAGGAACAGAAGGCAUUAUCCAACACAAUCCUUGGCUCCUAUGAGAUUCUUAUCAAGACAUUUGUUGCCUCAGUGGAAUUGCUUAACCUCAUUCUUAUAGCAAGGUUCUUCCUCCCAUGCCACAGGCUGAAACUCCCAGGACAGCGAGAUAAAAAUGGCAGGCGCAGCAAGUGUAUCAGCACAUGCUAUCGCCAUUUGAACCUACCCUCAAUGAGUUGUCAGCAUAUGUAGGGGAAGAAGUGCUUAUGGUGAGGAAGAAAAGCUGGGUGAAUGACCAAUAUAACCUUGUGCAAUUUGAUGGGCGAGUGAAUACAAGGCACUAGGUAAGGGACAAAAGUUACAUUUGGGUAUUGGAAUGUAUUUGAGAAAUAGAUGAAAACCAAAAAUGUAAUGAGAGGUGGGAGAAGGGCUACUAAAUACGAGACGAAAGUAAACCAAACUGAGUGGACAAGGGUCACACAACAGGCUAGUUCUGACAUAAGUUUUAAGUUAAUAGGAAAUAUAAACACAUAUUGUGUAGCAUCCUCUCUCCCAUUUCUUUGUACACUGUCCUGUUAAACAGACUUCUUCAGCCCAAAAACUCAUCUUGUCUGUAGCAAGCUAAGCACAUGUCUGGGUCCUGUAUCCGUAAUACAGGAGAUGACAAAGAACCAGAAAAAGUUUCUGAACUUUGAAGCCAUCAGCUAUUUCCAAGCCAAAGAAGGAAGCUGCCACUCAGCAGUGGAGAUUCAGCCUGCUCAGAAUUCUGAUGAGUAUUGGCUCUGACCAACUCCAGGCAGACUUCACAGGCAGAGAUUAAUUUCUCUGAUACAUUGUAAGGGGAAAAGCAGGUACGAAUCAUUUUAGGAUUAUAUACUGAAAAAAGUGUUUGUCUCCUUCUCCCUGCAACAACUAUUAAAGCAAGUUAAAUAGGUUAAAGGCUACAGCGGUGGCAUAUAUGUAGUUUUCCAUCCAAUGCUUUAAAGCAACAUAUGUGGUGACAAGCCCUUUCACCAGUUAUCAGAUUUGAUUUACUUUAUACCUUUUGCACACUUCUUGCUGUGCAUAACCUCUCCUGGUGUCCCUGUCAAAGUUAUUGUGCCACACCAUGCCAAUGUACCAUGGUUAAAUAUCAAUGAUUGCAACUUCAACCUCACCCAAUUUUAAUUUCAUUCUUGAAACAACCUAAUUUUCAGUUGAAAAACUCUACGCUUGGUUUCAGCUAAAAGGAACUUUGUGAGGAAUUCAAAAUUGGCUCAGCAACUUGAGUGAGGCAUGUCUUACAUAGGGCAAAGUAGUAUCAUCAUAACCCAAAUGCAUGAACUUAAAUGCCAGACUCUACAUGUGACCUGAGCUCUAUCAGGUUAGUUCACUAAAGUUUGAUUUUUUUUUUUUAAGUUAGGUAAGCAGUUAAAUUUGGAUUUACACAUGCAUCUUAUAUAGUUUCUUUUAACUUCAAGUUUCAUUGAGCAUGAAACAAUACUGAGCUCCUUUGAGAAGAGCAGACUCGUAAGUCAAGGUUCAUGCAGAUAGA